AGUUCGAUCAUGGCUCAGAUUGAACGCUGGCGGAUGCUUUACACAUGCAAGUCGAACGGCAGCACGGACUUCGGUCUGGUGGCGGUGGCGAACGGAGUGAGUAAUGUAUCGGAACGUGCCUAGUAGCGGGGGAUAACUACGCGAAAGCGUAGCUAAUACCGCAUACGCCCUUCGAGGGAAAGCAGGGGACCUUCGGGCCUCGCACUAUUAGAGCGGCCGAUAUCGGAUUGGCUAGUUGGUGGGGUAACGGCUCGCAAGGCGACGAUCCGUAGCUGGUUUCAGAGGACGACCAACCGCACUGGGACUGAGACACGGCCCAGACUCCUACCGGGAGGCAGCAGUGGGGGUACGGACAAUGGGGGGAAACCCUGAUCCAGCCAUCCCGCGUGUGCGAUGAAGGCCUUCGGGUUGUAAAGCACUUUUGGCAGGAAAACGGCACGGGAUAAUACCCCGUGCAACUGACGUCUGCAGAAUAAGCACCGGCUAACUACGUGCCAGCAGCCGCGGUAAUACGUAAGUGCAAGCGUUAAUCGGAAUUACUGGGCGUAAAGCGUGCGCAGGCGGUUCGGAAAGAAGAUGUGAAAUCCCAGAGCUUAACUUUGGAACUGCUGUUUUUAACUACCGAGCUAAGAGUGUCAGAGGAGGGUGGAAUUCCGCGUGUAGCAGUGAAAUGCGUAGAUAUGCGGAGAAGACACCGAUGGCGAAAACAGCCUCCUGGGAUAACACUGACGCUCAUGCACGAAAGCGUGGGAGCAAACAGGAUUAGAUACCCUGGUAGUCACGCCCUAAACGAUGUCAACUAGCUGUUGGGGCCUUCCGGGCCUUGGUAGCGCAGCUAACGCGUGAAGUUGACCGCCUGGGGGAUACGGUCGCAAGAUUAAAACUCAAAGGAAUUGACGGGGACCCGCACAAGCGGUGGAUGAUGUGGAUUAAUUCGAUGCAACGCAGAAAACCUUACCUACCCUUGACAUGUCUGGAAUCCGAAGAGAUUUGGGAGUGCUCGCAAGAGAACCGGAACACAGGUGCUGCAUGGCUGUCGUCAGCUCGUGUCGUGAGAUGUUGGGUUAAGUCCCGCAACGGGCGCAACCCUUGUCAUUAGUUGCUACGAAAGGGCACUCUAAUGAGACUGCCGGUGACAAACCGGAGGAAGGUGGGGAUGACGUCAAGUCCUCAUGGUAACCCUUAUGGGUAGGGCUUCACACGUCAUACAAUGGUCGGGACAGAGGGUCGCCAACCCGCGAGGAGCCAAUCCCGAAACCCGAUCGUAGUCCGGAUCGCAGUCUGCAACUCGACCGCGGCCGUCGGAAUCGCUAGUAAUCGCGGAUCAGCAUGUCGCGGUGAAUACGUUCCAGGUCUUGUACACACCACCGUCACACCAUGGGAGUGGGUUUUACCAGAAGUAGUUAGCCUAACUGCUAAGGAGGGCGAUUACCACGGUAGGAUUCAUGACUGGGGUGAAGUCAUGUGAGUAA
This 1472-nucleotide ribosomal RNA is filed under the name uncultured Bordetella sp. Its description in RNAcentral is "partial 16S-23S ribosomal RNA intergenic spacer". It matches the Rfam family "Bacterial small subunit ribosomal RNA". The record is from RNAcentral. Lineage: Bacteria; Pseudomonadati; Pseudomonadota; Betaproteobacteria; Burkholderiales; Alcaligenaceae.